This 253-nucleotide ribosomal RNA is filed under the name uncultured bacterium. Its description in RNAcentral is "partial 16S ribosomal RNA". It matches the Rfam family "Bacterial small subunit ribosomal RNA", at positions 524 to 776 of the family's 1533-position model. The record is from RNAcentral.
AACGUAGGACACAAGCGUUAUCCGGAGUUACUGGGCGUAAAGGGCGUGUAGGCGGAUCGGUAAGUCUGCUCUGAAAGCUCCUGGCUAAACUGGGAGAGGCGAGCGGAGACUGUCGGUCUAGAGUGAGGAAGAGGAAAGUGGAAUUCCGCGUGUAGUGGUGAAAUGCGCAGAUAUCAGGAGGAACACCGAUGGCGAAGGCAGGUCUCUGGGCCACUACUGACGCUGAGAAGCGAAAGCAUGGGGAGCGAACAGG